Molecule: long non-coding RNA, 2236 nt
Filed under: Fragaria vesca (wild strawberry)
Lineage: Eukaryota; Viridiplantae; Streptophyta; Magnoliopsida; Rosales; Rosaceae
Description: long non-coding RNA (FVES_LNC003636)
Source: RNAcentral
UCUCUCUCUCUCUCUCUCUCUCUCUCUCUCUCUCUCGCUCGUCGGAGUUGACCAGAUCUCCGACGAGUUCUCAACUUCGCCGGCUCUGGCUUACAAGUUUCUAUUAUUUUUGCAAUAAAUAGUAAUUAGGUGACAAUAAAGGUUAUUGUUGCAAGUUUACUAGGGAAGGUGAAUCGGUUUUGAUGUGGAUAACAAGUUUACUAGGGUCAGUAAUAUUUUGGUGGGGUGGAUAACAAGUUUACUAGGGGUUAGUAAUAUGUUAUUGAGGUGGAUAAGAGGUUUACUGGGUUUACUAGGUUUACUGGGGUCAGUAAUAUUUUGGUAGGGUGGAUAACAAGUUGACUAGAGGUCAGUAAUAUGUUAUGGGGUGGAUAACAAGUUUAUUGUAAGUCAGUAAUAUGUUAUUAGGGUGGAUAACAAGUUUACUGGGGGUCAGUAAUAUGUUAUUAGGGUGGAUAACAAGUUUACUAGGGUUAGUAAUAUUCUGGUGAGGUGAAUAACAAGUUUAUUGGGGGUCAGUAAUAUUCUGGUGAUCGGAUUCCGGCUACCGGUGACCGGAGUCCGGUAAAGUCCUCUCGCUUUUCAAUUUUCUCUCUCUAAAUGUGUUUUAAGACACAAGGGUAAAAAUGUCUCAAAAAUAUUAUUUUAUUAUAAAUUUAAUAAAAAUUUGUGUAUUUGGGCACAAAUAAGUUAAUCUCUCAUUCAAUUAGGGUCAAAAGUCUAUUCUCAUUGGAAUGAGGUUUGGCUUUUGUUUUUUUUUGUACAAAUAGACAUUUUCUUCUGAAUUCGAUCAUAUUAACACCGUUUAGUUUGACAGAAAAUGACAAUAUGUUUAUUUCUGUAAAUUAAGAAGAUUGAAGUAGGAACUAAGAAACCAGCUGCCCCAAAACGACGCGCCACAUACAUAAAAUUCAUGAAAUAAUCGGCUAGCUAUAGAUUGACUUGUUAGUUCUAGGGCUGGGCACGGGACGGGACGGGCCGGGAUUUGGUGAAUCCCGUCCCGUCCCGAAAAUAAAAGAACGGGACGGGACGGGACGGGAAGAUGUUUUUAAAAAUCUGUCCCGUACGUCCCGAUCCCGAUCGGAUCGGGAUCCCGACUAAAUUUUUUUUUUUUUCUAAGAACAAAUUAAUUGAUUAUCAAACACCACCACAGGUGGAAAAACGGGUUGAGAAACUCCAAGCAUUCAAAUGNNNNNNNNNNNNNNNNNNNNAAAUUAAAAGUAUUAUUUUAGACCAAAUUAAGUGUGGUUGAGUGCAUUGUAACACCAUGCAAUCUAAAAAAUCAAGUAUAAAAUGAAUAAAAUCAAGUAUUCUAAUAUUACGGGACGGGACGGGAUUUUUCGGGAUAGUCCCGUCCCGUCCCGUCCCGUUAUGGUAAUGUUAAAACUGGACGGGACGGGACGGGAUUGCUAUUUUCAAAACCUAUCUCGUCCCGUCCUGCUAACUUUCGGGACGGGACCGGUACAAGAUCGGGAUUCCGGUACUAAGUGCCCAGCCCUAGUUAGUUCCAUUCUUUGGUGACUGAAAUCGAAGAACUAGCUAUUUGGUGCCUUCUGAUGAUAAUCCUAAUUAUUAAACCGUACGUACGUAAGCCAUGCAAAAUUCUCCCUCAGUUCCUCGCUCCAGUUGCCAACUUGAACAUUCCAAUAACUGAAGAGUGUAGGAUAUAUUUAUGUUAAUUUCAAAUACAAAUACGUACAAGAUCAAUCAUAGAACUUCAUUCAGAUAAAUUGGAUUAAUGUAAUCAUCUUUUGUGGGGAUAUGUAUCAAACUAGGGCAUAACUGUUUGCAUUUGCUAGAUAUUUAAUUGUUUAAAGGUACUGGGUUCAUACCAACAUUGUUUGAAAUUCUUUUUUUGAAGGACUAAUUAUAUACGAUUGUCAUAUAUAUUGGCCAGCAAGUGGAAAUCUACUGAUAUAUUGGGUGCCUUUCAGAAGUUAUCACAUUGCCUGCCUCUCAAGAGAAGAAGUUAAAAUGUCGAUCUAGAUUUUUAACAUUUUGAAUCAUAGUCGAGCAUAGACUCAACAGACUAGAUAUAUAUCGCACACGUGCAUCCUACAUAUAUACGAGACACAUGGGAUCGGAGGUGAUGAUCUAUAUUUGUGUAUUCUGAUUAUAUAUGGAAUAUAUAGUAGGUGAUGAACAAUAUCAGAUCUUAAUAACUACUAUAUAUGGACGGGGGGAGGAAAAGUAAAACGGUAGAAAUUUCUGUUGUUAAAUUCUUAGUGGUCAGGGA